RNAcentral lists this ribosomal RNA (512 nucleotides) under Ovis ammon hodgsoni. RNAcentral describes it as "partial 16S ribosomal RNA". It matches the Rfam family "Bacterial large subunit ribosomal RNA", at positions 1921 to 2610 of the family's 2925-position model. The record is from RNAcentral. Lineage: Eukaryota; Metazoa; Chordata; Mammalia; Artiodactyla; Bovidae.
CGUUAAACGGCCGCGGUAUUCUGACCGUGCAAAGGUAGCAUAAUCAUUUGUUCUCUAAAUAAGGACUUGUAUGAAUGGCCACACGAGGGUUUUACUGUCUCUUACUUCCAAUCAGUGAAAUUGACCUCCCCGUGAAGAGGCGGGGAUAAAUCAACAAGACGAGAAGACCCUAUGGAGCUUUAACUAAGUAACUCAAGGAAAAUAAAUUUAACCACCAAGGGAUAACAACACUCCUCAUGAGUUAACAGUUUCGGUUGGGGUGACCUCGGAGAACAGAAAAUCCUCCGAGCGAUUUUAAAGACUAGACUAACAAGUCAAACCAAUUCAUCGCUUAUUGAUCCAAAAACUUGAUCAACGGAACAAGUUACCCUAGGGAUAACAGCGCAAUCCUAUUCAAGAGUCCAUAUCGACAAUAGGGUUUACGACCUCGAUGUUGGAUCAGGACACCCCGAUGGUGCAACCGCUAUCAAAGGUUCGUUUGUUCAACGAUUAAAGUCCUACGUGAUCUGAGU